RNAcentral lists this long non-coding RNA (1289 nucleotides) under Homo sapiens (human). RNAcentral's name for it is "HSALNT0323195". Lineage: Eukaryota; Metazoa; Chordata; Mammalia; Primates; Hominidae. The record is from RNAcentral.
GUCCUCAUUACCUACAGAGCAAAGCUCCAGCCUCACCUCCCAGCUCACCCUCCUAGUGAUGACUCUCUAGCAAUGAGGAACUUGUAUUUUUGCUAGGCACAGUGCUAUUGGCUGUUUCUCCCCUCCUAGCCUUUUGUUCAAGCUAUGCCCUUUGCACAAAAUGCCCUCACCACCCACCCCAACCUCCAGCUCCUUGUCCCUUGUCUAGAUCCUAGUCAUUCUCUACAACACAGUUCAAACAUCGCUGCCUCAAGGAAACCCUGCCUCACCACAUCAUCAGCCCUCAGCUUCCGUCCCAGCCCCGGCCAAGUGAUCUUCCUCUCUGUUCCCAUGACUCUGGGAAAUCAGACAUUCUUUUUGAAAUGUUGAAAGACAGUGGUGACUGAGCCUGCCAGAUUAUCUGGGACAUAAGCUGGAACUGGAUCUAGUACCUGUGAACAAGUGUAUUCUGACUUGAUAUUGACAAAUAAGGAAAAGUUAUUACUGGAUGCAAGUUCUGGGAAGACUAUAGCAGUAUCUGUCUCUGCUCUUGGAGAUUGGAAUGCAGAACUCUGCAAGGAGGAACAUUCUAUCUCCCUGUCAUAAAGAGUCAUUAGCAACCACCUGGUGCAGGUCACAAGCAGGGAGAGGAAAGACUGCAGAGUCUUUCGUUCUUUCUGGUGCAGCUUAACUGAUUUGAAGAAGCCGAAGAAGAAAAUCCAGUAGCACGGUUAAGACUUUAGCCAUGGCAUCUGUAUCAUACCAAAAGCCAACAUCUACUACUGUGGGAAAACAAAUGAUUUUUACAGAUAAAGAAACUGAGCCUGAGAGAUGGUAUUUUGAAGAAGGUUAUGAGCCUAUUAUGAAAUAGGGUUCAGCUGGAGUAUGGCCCAUUCUCUUUUCUACACAUCAUGCUGUCUCCCAAUAAAGCAAAACAAAUGAAAAAGGAAAUGAUGUGCUGUAAACCAAUUGCGAACCACAAGAAACACUGAAUGAAAGGUCACAGGGCGAAUUACACAGAGAGUGGUAUAAACUUGGCAGGGAGAUAUAAAAUGUUUUAUCAUUUCCCUGUAUAGCAGAGAGGGGAGGAAAAAAUGAAAGGAAUAGCAAAAACAAUGCUUUCCUGAGGUGAUCAUAAAUGUGCUUUCAUAGAAAAUGACGUUUUAGAGGAACAGUGGAAAUUGAAGAAGCAGGAAGGACUGAAUAUAUGGAAGUGAUAGACAAGAAUGAUUAGGAGACCAGAGAGAGAGAAAAAAGUAAUUCAGGUAGCCAUCAUAGCACUGCCUUUCAAACUUUUCUGACUGCAGUCC